Molecule: long non-coding RNA, 5196 nt
Organism: Harpia harpyja (harpy eagle)
Lineage: Eukaryota; Metazoa; Chordata; Aves; Accipitriformes; Accipitridae
Exons: 7
Source: RefSeq, a predicted model, not a curated record
UGUCUACCUCAGUGGAAGAUUACAUCGCUUGCAGCUGACUUGUGAAGAAGACCCUUCCCCGCCUUGAUCAGGACACCAGUCGAGGUAGCUUCCCUGGGAUUGAGAGCCCUUACCUGGAGGGCAAAGGACCUUUGUUGAUGUUCCAGGAGACAGCAGUAACUAUGUGGGUGUGAAUGAGGGCUUUCUUCUUCAUUAUGGAUGGCUGCAAUCACUGGCAGUGGAAGGGUGCUGCCCAGAACGUGUCCCUCAGGAACCACACGCAUCUGUCCAGCCCUGAGAGUCUCUUCAUGGUGGUAGGACAACGAGUGCCUUCAGUUCAUGAGUCAUAAUAAAGCAAAACCAACACCAGAACAAAGGUGUCCUAUGCUGGUCCUUGCCAUGCUGACUGCCUCUGGAGGAAUGCUGCAAAGCACCAUGACAUAUCACUCCUCCUCUCCACUUUGCCGCUGAAAAGCAAAUUGUUAAGAAGAUUGAGGACAAGAUCAACUCAGCACCUGUUUGAAUUCUGGCCCAGGUGCCAGAACAAAAGAACAACACGGGAUCGAUCCUUUUUUCUGAAAGGUAAAUAUCUACCAGAAUUAUGUACCUACUUCACGUGCCAAGAUGCAAAUGUAUAUUUAACACUUGUAUGCCUAAAGAAGGAAAAGAUUUUGGGAGCUUCAUGUUUUCAUCAUGCCCAACUCCUGACAACAGAGAAGAGUGAUCUUCCUGAAGCCAGAGAGUAUAUGUGAAAUGAAGCUGUGUUUGGAAACUGCUGAUUCAGGAAUUCAUUAUAAAAACAAAUUAAUGCCACAAGAAUCAUCUUGUCCAGUGACAAAAACACAUAAAGCCCAACUCUGCAAAGUUUGAGCAAAACCUAAGGCAUCCUAGGAUUCAAAAGGCCCUGGGUUAGCUCUGGUGGCAUCACUGUCAUUAGGAGCCCCAUUGACUGAGAUUGUGACUAGGGAUUAAUGAGUGGCCUGCCUUCUCUGAGGGUACAGCUCAGGGAGCUGGUCUGAAAACUGGCAGCAUGGUGCCUAAGCAAUUCUGUAAUACAGCCUUAUACUGACAUUUCAUAUGGAUGUAAAAUUUGUCUCUGCCUUUUUUAGCCAUACAAGAACUUCAUUUUUUACUGUGAGCGGGGAAAAAAGAGAGAAGAAAGCUCCUAGGUAAACAGGUAGUGGGCAUGGCUUUCUGAGAUUGCUGUAAUUAGAAAAGCCUAAAUGAUCCUAAUCAGAUUUAAGAAAAUUACAUGCAACAAGAAGCUUAGCUAAGUAAGCCAACUCUCUUGUUUUCCACUGGCAAAAAUGAUGAGUGGCAGCACAAGACUUCAUUUCCUUUCCACGUGUUCCUAAUCCUUCAUUUAUGAAGCCUUCAUUGUCAUUAGAUAGGUUUCUUUAGCCCCAUCAAAACAAAACUGCUCUUCAGCAUGAUUCCACCUGUUUGAUACAGUGGGUGUGGGAAUAAGCACUGCCAAAUGAGAGACUGUGGGGUGUUAGGGAGUCAGGCAUUUUCAUAAGGCUUUUUUUCAUCAUGAUCUCAUGGUAAGAUUUAGCCUUUGCUUGGGUUUCAGUGCCAACCAACUUUUUCUGCAGUCCUUUAGCACAGGUACCAGAGAGUUCACUGGUCUGUUUGACAGAAAUUUAAAAAAAUGUAACUAAAUAUUUUAUGCUUAUUGUUGGUAAAUAAUCAGGGAAAGAGAACUAGGGUGGUAAAAUUAAGAACCCUUGUAGCUGCAAAACUGUGCUGUGACAGUAUUGCUAAUUCUCCUUAUGCAUACUAUAAUGAGAUUCAUACUAAGGCUGCAUUUUUUCCAUUGCAUUCCUUUUUUCCAUACAAGGUGUAAUACUUCCUUGACAGUUAUUUAUUUUGAAACCACUCCUUUGAACAAGUAAUCACUUUUAAGCCAUGCCUGUAGUCUGCUAAUGGCUAUUUAACACCACCUGUGCAAUCAUUCCAGGAAUCUGCCUCUGUCACUCUUGACACUAGAAAGUACAAAACAGUAAGAUCAUAAAACUUCCUCAGGCAUAGGUCCCACUCUGCUCCCAGCCUCACCCUUGCAAAUCUGGAUGAAGAUCAUUGAUAACAAUGGGACUGUUAUGAACUGACCUCAGCUUAAUUGAGAGCAGGGUCUGUAAGGCAUAAUAAAGCUCUCCCAUAUUUCACACCAGGAUAGAGGUGCAGUGAGGCUGAUCAACUGCAAGAGCAGCAUUGUUCUGAAUUCCCUCAUGUAAGGCCUAUACAGGUGCAGUUAGCUUGGCUUCACUUCAUAUUUUUAGGGCUAAAUUAACUGACUUUCUUUGGAAAAGUUAGUACCAGUACUUCUGUGUUUUUAAACCAACUUCAGGUCCUACUCGAAGCAAGGGCAACUUUCCAUUUUACUUCCUGGGGAUCAAAACUGGAUUCCUGUUGCUUGCUCCUGUGAGAUGCUGAACACCUCUUUUGAAUUGUGCAAAUGUUAUUGAACAUCUGUCACAAGGUGUUUAGCACUUUGGGGAGACUGAGCUGACGUGCAUCUCUUACCCCUGUUAAUAAGCUCCCAGUUCAGGUAACUGUACACUGCACUUCUGGGUGGACAAAGGUUCCAGUGUUUAGUGCACUUCAUCUAGGUGACCAACUCUUUAAAAAUAGCAAUUGAUUUAAAGGGUACAAGUCUCCCCAAGUAGUAGUAAAUGGCGAGAGCUGCAUACGAACCUGCAGAAAUUUCAGCAUGUUUUACUUUUAGGAAUUCUUUUUUUUUUUUGGAGCGGGGGGGAAGAGAAGCUCCAUAAUCAUAAGGGUUUUGUUACUCACAGGACACAUUCCUGACUCCUCCCUGUAGAAAAGCCUGAUGGCCUAAUGUCAAGAAUGUGCCUGUAAACUACUAAUAACUCACUACUCCUGCCCUUGCCGUACAGUUUCUGGUUUAAAAGGGCAUGAAAGGUGCACACAACUGAUACUUCCAGGCUUGCUUCAACACUUACUGACUGGUCUUUCAUGCCAAUAUAAAUCACAGACAUAUGGGAGUCUGUACAGAUGAGUGUGAAAUCAGUGUAACUAAAGAAGGGGACAGCGUUUUCUAACUCACAUCCCCGUUUCAGGUUAGAUUUAGAUCACUGUUUCAGCUGGGAAUGUUCUUCAAAUUGCAAUGCCAGGUCCCAACAAAUGUUGUUAUUUAAACUGACAAUUCAAAUUAAAUAUUGAAAUUACUUUUUUAAAAAAAUAUUAAUACGAUUACAAGUUUUUCGUAUUCAGACAGUCUUUCCUGGAUGAGAUUUCUGAGCUACAGUCUUUACCCAAACAUUUUAUUUCAUGGAACAAAUUGAUGUUUGGCUUUAUUUGGUACUGCUUUAAGAGGAACGCUGGGCCUGAAAUAAUUUGGGCUUUUCCACGAAGUGGGAAUUUGGGUUUCUAGGCCAAGAGAGCCUAUAUAUUGAGGCAGACCGGGUAUAGCAGUGCUGUGGUGGACAGUGUGCCUGUUUUGCAUGAUCCUGGUUAAGUGAGCACAAGGCACAAGAGAAACAAGAAUUAUGAGGCACAAGAAAUAUUAAGUGUUGAGUCAUUCUGUCCUCUGCACAGAGGGUUUGUCCUGUGAUUUUCCUCUUACUUUUUCCAAUGCCUUAAAUAACCAUAUCAUUAGGCUGACUUUCCCCUCCAUCUUCCAAAGUGACUAACAAGAUUAUAUUUGUCUAGCAAUGCAAGUUUUGAGUCCUUCUGUCUUCCAACCUCUUGUCAUAGUAUGCGUUCCCAUAACACACUGCUCAGUACUCUGCAGUAAAUCUAUUUUUUCUCCCUUGCUUUCAUCCAACUAUCCCCAUGUGGCACAGACCCACCUGUUUAACAAGCAUCUCCAUGCUUUCUUCUGUGUGGCUCUCAUGCAUCAUGCCACCUUCCCAAACCCAGUCCUUGCUUAGAUAAAGUCUGCACUCUUUUGUUUUUUGAUGUCUCUUAAAACCCUUUGAUGCUUGUCGAAAACUUCAUUGAUUUGUACAGACCAUCCGUUUACUGCUCACUGAUGACCUCUGCCUAUCACUGAAGUGCAACUUCCUGGGGCAGGAACUAAAUUUUCUUCAGUAAAGAGGCUAGUAUAGCAGCUUAAAUCACUGUUCCAAAAAGAAAUGCAGCGUUUCAGCUCUAAAUGCUAGUUUGGGGUAACAAAGUCAACACUGAUCAAUUUCCAUGGACAAAAUUAAUUUUUAGGAGAUUCAGAUUUCUCACUUUUCCGUUUUAUUCAAGGUUUAUCAGAUUUUUGUUAUAAUCUCUCACCAUUGUUCCCCCCAAAAUGAGGAUGUUCUGCUAAAAAUGACUUCCUCAUGUACCCUUCAGUGCAUCAUGCCUCGCAGAAGUGAGGCAAAGGAGGUUGAGGGGAUGCUACCAGCUGAGACACUGAAUUUCAAGAGCAAACUUGAGAGAUUUAAUGAUCCUGAAAGUUGUUGAAACAUUGCUGAGUAUUUUGGUUUUGAUAGACUAUACUUAUAGCUCACAAAAGCAGCUACAGUCUUGUUGGUUUAAUGAAUGAGUUUUUCCUGUGAGGCAAACUGUCUUUGUUCAGUAUAUUUUUACUUUGCCAUAUUGAUCUGUGCCAGAGGAAGGACGGGUGCUUGUAACAUGAUCCCACAGCAACAGAAAAGGAAGAAUAAACAACAAGCAUUUGUUCCUUAAAUGCCAUUGCUAAUUUUGAACAUUUCCUUCUGUUUGAAAUAUAGCUUGUUUUAUGAACAAAACUCAGUCUGUGUAAACCCUAGUCUUCUCCCUCAGGGAUUUCAGGGCAAUCUUGGUGUUUUGGAGUUUGGAGAACUCCAGAUUGUUCCUGGACAUCAAAUGAUCUUCUCCUGGGGUAGAGGCUAUUUGCAGGUGCAGUGUGUUCAACCACUCCAUGAUCUUUCACUAACUGCUUUUUGUGCCUGUGCUGCAAAGUCCUCUCAGAGUGAAUAGUCCAGGUACACCUCUGGUUUCAUUGUGACACUGAAAAAAUAAAAAUAUAAAAUAGCAUGGGAGGAGUAACACAGAGGCCUGUGCUUCUUAUCUGCUAUAUGUUUUAUAAGAAGCGGUAUAAUCAGACAAACAAGCAAACCAUCAACCCAAUUAGUAAAUUAAACUUACACUGUGUUAAAAUAUUAAGGGUAAAAUAAAUGUAAAAAAGGGCAGGAAAUGCAAGGUUAAGUUGCCAUUCCAUCUUAUGCUAGCCCUGCUUUGUAUAGUGGCACUUCACCUGGGGAGUGACCAUUGUGAAAGGGU